This 72-nucleotide transfer RNA is filed under the name Marmota marmota marmota (Alpine marmot). It matches the Rfam family "tRNA". From Rfam's summary of the family: Transfer RNA (tRNA) molecules are approximately 80 nucleotides in length. Their secondary structure includes four short double-helical elements and three loops (D, anti-codon, and T loops). Further hydrogen bonds mediate the characteristic L-shaped molecular structure. tRNAs have two regions of fundamental functional importance: the anti-codon, which is responsible for specific mRNA codon recognition, and the 3' end, to which the tRNAs corresponding amino acid is attached (by aminoacyl-tRNA synthetases). tRNAs cope with the degeneracy of the genetic code in two manners: having more than one tRNA (with a specific anti-codon) for a particular amino acid; and 'wobble' base-pairing, i.e. permitting non-standard base-pairing at the 3rd anti-codon position. RNAcentral also lists the same sequence under 1 other name. The record is from Rfam by way of RNAcentral. Lineage: Eukaryota; Metazoa; Chordata; Mammalia; Rodentia; Sciuridae.
AGGGGUGUGGCUCAUUGGUAGAGCACUUGCCUGGCAUGUGUGAGGCACUGGGUUUGAUCCUCAGCACCACAU